Molecule: ribosomal RNA, 253 nt
Filed under: uncultured bacterium
Lineage: Bacteria
Description: partial 16S ribosomal RNA
Rfam family: Bacterial small subunit ribosomal RNA
Source: RNAcentral
UACGGGGGGAGCAAGCGUUGUUCGGAUUUACUGGGCGUAAAGGGCGCGUAGGCGGCGCAACAAGUCACUUGUGAAAUCUCCGGGCUUAACCCGGAGCGGCCAAGUGAUACUGUCGUGCUAGAGUGCGGAAGGGGCUACUGGAAUUCUCGGUGUAGCGGUGAAAUGCGUAGAUAUCGGGAGGAACACCAGUGGCGAAGGCGACUACCUGGCCUGUUCUUGACGCUGAGGAGCGAAAGCCAGGGGAGCAAACGGG